Molecule: long non-coding RNA, 579 nt
Filed under: Lathyrus oleraceus (garden pea)
Lineage: Eukaryota; Viridiplantae; Streptophyta; Magnoliopsida; Fabales; Fabaceae
Description: Pisum sativum (pea) long non-coding RNA (PSAT_LNC038871)
Source: RNAcentral
GCAGAAAGGCACAAUGACUCGAAUAUUGUCCAAAUGUUCUAAAUGUUUGGUCCCAAGUGCAGCCAGCUCAGGUUGAGGUUCUGAUUUUAAAUCUUCAAACCUGCAACACAAGGACAGUUACCACCCAUGAAAAAUGAUAGAAGUCUACUACAAAUCAAUAACUUGUCCGAAACAUACAUGAGCUUCUUGUCUCGGUGAAUCAACAAUUCGGAACCAUGUUAACCAUGACAUGAACUCAACAAAACAAGAGCAAACCAUGACCUACACUUAUUCCAAUACAAUGAAACCAAAGUCAAAAUGAGGUGCAAUAUAAACCAAAGAAACAUGAAUUGUCAAGCACACCAAGUCAGAAAUGCAUAGGUGGACCAAUACCAUUUGAAUUCAUGUGUACAUGAGCAAUAUGAUAUUCAUGAUGUAGAUGCUAUAAUGCAUAAGCCAAAACACAUGAACAAUGCACAUAAGUUCAGACCUGCAGGAAUUGCAUGAAACACUCCAAGGCAUCCAACAUGUUGCAUCACCAACACAACCAUGCCAAUGAAUGUGCACUUGCAGCAUAGCAGGACAUAACAACCGUCAACA